CAAAAAAAAAAAAAAAAAAAAAUCAGGUCACGGUCAUCACUCAUCAACGGCUCCCAGGCUUGAGCUGAGCUCUGGAUUUUGUGAUGCUUACGAGUUCUUAGCACCGCAGUUUUCUUCUUCUUCUUCUUCUUCUUCGUUUCAGCUCAGUACACAUAAAGCUGCAGAAUUCACCGCGAAAAGUGGAGCCAAAAAAAAAAAAAAAAAAAAAAAGGCUCUGUUUCUCUCUGAUUCCAUUUGUUUAAAACUCUGAAACCAUACAAUUUUCAAUUUUUUCCUGGUCCAGUUUGAAGUACCCACUUGGAGUUGAACGCUGUUCUUAGACUUGGUUAUGGGUUCGCUCUCUGUAAACGGUUGGUGGACCAGAACAACUUCAAAAUAUGCUUCUUCUUCCACAAACCCCUUGCGUUUGGAACAAUCUUCCUUCAUCUGUGGGAAUCUCAUUGGCCUAUAUGGUGUACAAAAUGUUUUACCUUCCAAAUUAUGCAGUGGACUCAAAUUUAGCCCAAGGGCUUUUGCAAGCCGGAAAUCAUUCAAGAAAUUGAAAAAGGAUGGAACACAAAAACGUAAAAGCGUUACUGAUAGUUCUUCUAGUAAUGAUUAUGGUCAAGAUGACAAGAAAGUAGAUCCUUCUGAAAAUUUGACUGAGCAGAAACUGAUUUCAAUCCCCUCAAGGAGUAGUGUGCUUCAGGCAUGCACUGUUACUUCGGGUCUAAUAGCUGCUUUCGGUAUAAUAAUUCGACAGGUAUCGCAUUUGGCAUCAGUGGAAGGAUUGCCAAUACUUGACUGCUCAUCAAAAGUAUCGUUUGAUUUUGAGAUGUGGCAUCUUGAGUUGAUUACAGGACUAGUUUUACUGAUAUCGUCAUGCCGAUAUCUUCUAUUGAAGACAUGGUUAGAUUUUGCCGAGUCUAGUGAAGCUGCAAAUCAGCAGGUCCUUACAUCUCUGGGGCCAUUGGAUUACAUGGUCGUUGCAUUUUUGCCUGGGUUUAGUGAGGAACUUCUUUUUCGUGGUGCACUGCUACCGCUUUUUGGAUUUGACUGGAAGAGUGUCUUGGUGGUUGCUGCCAUUUUUGGUGUUCUGCACCUAGGAAGUGGACGGAAGUAUUCCUUUGCUGCCUGGGCAACUUUUGUUGGUAUUGCAUAUGGUUAUGCAACAGUAAUGUCUUCUAGCAUUAUUGUACCGAUGGCUUCACAUGCAGUGAACAAUUUGGUGGGAGGGAUUUUGUGGCGCUAUGAAUCGAAACCAUCAGAACAAAGUCAUUGCAAACAGCGUCUCUUCCAUAUUCUGACUCCGUCGUCCGUACGCUUUUUCUUGGAGUUCUGAAUCUGCUUGAAAUUUCUCAUUCAUGGCAUCGGAGAACCAACUGGUGUGUUGGAUGGCAAUGGGGGUCGUUAUCAAUGUAUGAGAAUGAUAGGCCAUUACCAAAAUUUGGAGAGUGGGAUGUGAAUGAUCCUGCUUCAGCAGAUGGAUUUACUGUCAUAUUCAACAAGGCAA
RNA transcript from Ziziphus jujuba (common jujube), 1492 nucleotides. RefSeq lists it as uncharacterized. Lineage: Eukaryota; Viridiplantae; Streptophyta; Magnoliopsida; Rosales; Rhamnaceae. The record is from RefSeq and is a predicted model, not a curated record. The transcript is spliced from 11 exons.